Molecule: long non-coding RNA, 229 nt
Organism: Drosophila obscura
Lineage: Eukaryota; Metazoa; Arthropoda; Insecta; Diptera; Drosophilidae
Exons: 3
Source: RefSeq, a predicted model, not a curated record
UUGAGUGCAUAACUUUUGUUUCUGCCUAAUUAAUAAAAGAGAAAAACAAACUGGUGUAUAAAACACUACGUACAUUAAUUCCAUUGUAUAAAUCGAUUCAUCGAACCUGCCGAAACAUUUUUUCCCUGUCAACCCCAUCCGUACAUACCCCAGCCCAUUUACAUACAUACAGUCAACCCUGCUGAUGACUAAUUUUGUCUAAAUUUACAUAAUGAGGAAACCAUUGUAA